UACGAAGGGGGCUAGCGUUGCUCGGAAUUACUGGGCGUAAAGGGCGCGUAGGCGGACAGUUUAGUCAGAGGUGAAAGCCCAGGGCUCAACCUUGGAAUUGCCUUUGAUACUGAGGGCCUUGAGACCGGAAGAGGUCGGCGGAACUGCGAGUGUAGAGGUGAAAUUCGUAGAUAUUCGCAAGAACACCAGUGGCGAAGGCGGCCGACUGGUCCGGUUCUGACGCUGAGGCGCGAAAGCGUGGGGAGCAAACAGG
This 253-nucleotide ribosomal RNA is filed under the name uncultured bacterium. RNAcentral's name for it is "partial 16S ribosomal RNA". It matches the Rfam family "Bacterial small subunit ribosomal RNA", at positions 524 to 776 of the family's 1533-position model. The record is from RNAcentral.